Small nuclear RNA from Protopterus annectens (West African lungfish), 128 nucleotides. RefSeq annotates it as U4 spliceosomal RNA. The record is from RefSeq and is a predicted model, not a curated record. NCBI's taxonomy places the organism in Eukaryota, Metazoa, Chordata, Ceratodontiformes, Protopteridae. The transcript has a single exon.
AGCUUUGUGCAGUGGCAGUAUCACAGCCAUGAGGUUUAUCCAAGGCAUGAUUAUUGCUAAUUGAAAAUGUUGUCAAAUGUUUGGUUUGCCUCCCCUCCACAAAACCACUUUGAUCCAUAGCUGUCAAU